Molecule: unclassified non-coding RNA, 344 nt
Filed under: soil metagenome
Description: partial contains 5.8S ribosomal RNA, internal transcribed spacer 2, and large subunit ribosomal RNA
Rfam family: 5.8S ribosomal RNA (bases 1-120)
Source: RNAcentral
GAUGAAGAACGUAGCGAAAUGCGAUACGUAGUGUGAAUUGCAGAAUUCAGUGAAUCAUCGAAUCUUUGAACGCACAUUGCGCCCUUUGGUAUUCCAAAGGGCAUGCCUGUUCGAGCGUCAUUUGUACCCUCAAGCUUUGCUUGGUGUUGGGCGUUUUUUGUCUUUGGUUGCCAAAGACUCGCCUUAAACGAUUGGCAGCCGGCCUCCUGGUUUCGCAGCGCAGCACAUUUUUGCGCUUGCAAUCAGCAACAGAGGGCGGCACUCCAUCAAGACUCCAUUUUCACGUUUGACCUCGGAUCAGGUAGGGAUACCCGCUGAACUUAAGCAUAUCAAUAAGCGGAGGA